RNAcentral lists this non-coding RNA (30 nucleotides) under Homo sapiens (human). Lineage: Eukaryota; Metazoa; Chordata; Mammalia; Primates; Hominidae. The record is from RNAcentral.
UGGGUGAUGAGUGCACCAAAAUCUCAGAAA